This 410-nucleotide ribosomal RNA is filed under the name uncultured microorganism. RNAcentral describes it as "bacterial SSU rRNA". It matches the Rfam family "Bacterial small subunit ribosomal RNA", at positions 509 to 917 of the family's 1533-position model. The record is from RNAcentral.
CAGCCGCCGCGGUAAUACGUAGGUGGCAAGCGUUGUCCGGAAUUAUUGGGCGUAAAGCGCGCGCAGGCGGUUCCUUAAGUCUGAUGUGAAAUCUCGCGGCUCAACCGCGAGCGGCCAUUGGAAACUGGGGAACUUGAGUGCAGGAGAGGGGAGCGGAAUUCCACGUGUAGCGGUGAAAUGCGUAGAGAUGUGGAGGAACACCAGUGGCGAGGGCGGCUCUCUGGCCUGUAACUGACGCUGAGGCGCGAAAGCGUGGGGAGCGAACAGGAUUAGAUCCCCUGGUAGUCCACGCCGUAAACGAUGAGUGCUAAGUGUUAGAGGGGAUCCACCCUUUAGUGCUGCAGCAAACGCAUUAAGCACUCCGCCUGGGGAGUACGGCCGCAAGGCUGAAACUUAAAGGAAUUGGCGGG